GCGCGGUCGAGGGGCGCGCCACCGCCGGUGGGUGGACGCCGAGCUGGUGGGAGCCCAGGCCAAGGGUGGAGGCCAAGCCCAGAAGGGGGCGGGGAGGCCUCAAAGUGGGAAAGUGGCCCCGUCCCUUCCCGGCAGGAAUCCGGGGCUCCUCCUCCGCCCGCUGCGCAGCCAUCAAUCACCGCGACAGCCCAAGUGCCCCCUGCCCGGACACAACAACCCUCCUGCUUUUCCACCCGGGGGAGGAAAUCUCCGGUCGGAGCAUCUGCCCUGCACACUGGCUGGACUCACCAGUGGGGUCCGCGCUGGGGAUCAAAGCUGUGCGACACCGGGUCUGACCCGCGCGCUCAGGCGCAGGGAGCACUUGACACCCCACAGGCAGCCCUGCAGAUAGUAGCAGAGGAGACUUGGAUUUCAUUGGUGUUGGUUUUCGUGAUUCCUGCCUUCUAAAAUCCCAAGACUUAUUUAUCAUUUAUCAUCAGCUCAGAUCCCAGGAAAACAGUCCACUGCACUUCGGUUUCUGCUCCAAGUCACCCAUUAAAUAAAUAAUUGAACACCUGCUGGUGCCAGGCGCAGUUCUAAUGCUUGGGAUAUGUCGGUGAACAAAGCAAAGGUCUCCCUCACCUGGGGGAGCUGAAGGCCUGCGGGGAAGAAGUGGGAGACAGAGGGUAAACCAUGGCCAUCCCUAAGUAAAUUAUUUGGGGUGUUGGAAGAGGUCGGUGAUAGGGAAAACAAGAAAAAGAAUAUGGGGGCCCAGAGUGCUUGUGUCUGGAGCAGGUCACAGAAUUAAAUAGAUGGUGUGUGUCAGGCCUCUGAGCCCAAGCCAAGCCAUCGCAUCCCCUGUGACUUGCACGUAUACAUCCAGAUGGUCUGAAGUAACUGAAGAUCCACAAAAGAAGUAAACAUAGCCUUAACUGAUGACAUUCCACCAUUGUGAUUUGUUCCCGCCCCACCCUAACUAAUCAAUGUACUUUGUAAUCUCCCCCACCCUUAAGAAGGUUCUUUGUAAUUCUCCCCACCCUUGAGAAUGUACUUUGUGAGAUCCACCCCUGCCCACAAAACAUUGCUCUUAACUUCACCGCCUAUCUCAAAACCUAUAAGAACUAAUAAUAAUCCACCACUCUUUGCUGACUCUCUGUUUGGACUCAGCCCACCUGCACCCAGGUGAAAUAAACAGCCAUGUUGCUCACACAAAGCCUGUUUGGUGGUCUCUUCACACGGACGCGCAUGAAAUUUGGUGUCGUGACUCAGAUUGGGGGACCUCCCUUGGGAGAUCAAUCCCCUGUCCUCCUGCUCUUUGCUCUGUGAGAAAGAUCCACCUACGACCUCAGGACCGACCAGCCCAAGAAACAUCUCACCAAUUUCAAAUCCAGUAAGCGGCCUCUUUUUACUCUCUUCUCCAACUUGCCUCACUAUCCCUCAACCUCUUUCUCCUUUCAAUCUUGGCGCUACACUUCAAUCUCUCCCUUCUCUUAAUUUCAAUUCCUUUCAUUUUCUGGUAGAGACAAAAGAGACACGUUUUAUCCGUGGACCCAAAACUCCGGCGCCGGUCACGGACUGGGAAGGCAGCCUUCCCUUGGUGUUUAAUCAUUGCAGGGAUGCCUCUGUGAUUAUACACCCACGUUUCAAGGGUGUCAGACCACGCAGGGACGCCUGCCUUGGUCCUUCACCCUUAGCGGCAAGUCCUGCUUUUCUGGGGAAGGGGCAAGUACCCCAACCCCUUCUCUCCUUGUCUCUACCCCUUCUCUGCCUUUCCUGGGGCAGGGGCAAGUACCCCUCAACCCCUUCUCCUUCACCCUUAGCGGCAAGUCCCGCUUUCCUAGGGGCAAGAACCUCCCAAUCGCUUAUUUCCGCACCCCAACCUCUUAUCUCUGUGCCCCAAUCCCUUAUUUCCGUGCCCCAACCCUUUCUCUGCUUUUCUGGAGGGCAAGAACUCCCCACCCCUUCUCCAUGUCUCUACUCUUUUCUCUGGGCUUGCCUCCUUCACUAUGGGUAGGCUUCCACCUUCCAUUCCUCCUUGUUCUCCCUUAGCCUGUGUUCUCAAAAACUUAAAACCUCUUCAACUCACACCUGACCUAAAACCUAAAUGCCUUAUUUUCUUCUGCAAUGCCGCUUGACCCCAAUACAAACUCGACAGUAGUUCCAAAUAGCUGGAAAACGGCGCUUUCAAUUUUUCCAUCCUACAAGAUCUAAAUAAUUCUUGUCGUAAAAUGGGCAAAUGGUCUGAGGUGCCUGACGUCCAGGCAUUCUUUUACACAUCAGUCCCUUCCUAGUCUCUGUGCCCCGUGCAACUCGUCCCAAAUCUUCCUUCUUUCCCUCCCUCCUGUCCCCUCAGUCCCAACCCCAAGCGGCGCUGAGUCUUUCUAAUCUUCCUCUUCUACAGACCCAUCUGACCUCUCCCCUCCGCGCCAGCCCAAGCUAGGUCCCAAUUCUUCCUCAGCCUCCGCGCCUCCCCUCCCUUCAUCCCACACCUGGUCCGACUUAUAGUUUCAUUCUGUGACUAGCCCUCCCCCACCUGCCCAGCAGUUUACUCUUAAAAAGGUGGCUGGAGCCAAAGGCAUAGUCAGGGUUAAUGCUCCUUUUUCAUUAUCCCAAAUCACAUAGCGUUUAGGCUCUUUUUCAUCAAAUAUAAAAACCCAGCCCAGUUCAUGGCUCGUUCGGCAGCAACCCUGAGACGCUUUACAGCCCUAGACCCUAAAAGGUCAAAAGGCCAUCUUAUUCUCAAUAUACAUUUUAUUACCCGAUCUGCUCCCGACAUUAAAUAAAACUCCAAAAAUUAAAUUCCGGCCCUCAAACCCCACAACAGGAUUUAAUUAACCUCGCCUUCAAGGUGUACAAUAAUAGAAAAAAGUUGCAAUUCCUUGGCUCCACUGUGAGACAAACCCCAGCCACAUCUCCAGCAUACAAGAACUUCCAAAUGCCUGAACCGCAGCGGCCAGGCGUUCUUCUAGAACCUCCUCCCCCAGGAGCUUGCUACAAGUGCCAGAAAUCUGACCACCAGGGCAAGGAAUGCCUGCAGCCCAGGAUUCCUCCUAAGCCGUGUCCCAUCUGUGCGGGACCCCACUGGAAAUUAGACUGUUCAACUCACCUGGCAGCCACUCCCCGAGCCCCUGGAACUCUGGCCCGAGGCUCUCUGACUGACUCCUUCUCGGCUUAGCGGCUGAAGACUGAUGCUGCCCGAUCGCCUCGGAAGCCCCGUAGGCCAUCACGGACGCCGAGCUUUGGGUAACUCUCAGAGUGGAAGGUAAGUCCGUCCCCUUCUUAAUCAAUAUGGAGGCUACCCACUCCACAUUACCUUCUUUUCAAGGGCCUGUUUCCCUUGCCUCCAUAACUGUUGUGGGUAUUGACAGCCAGGCUUCUAAACCUCUUAAAACUCCCCAACUCUGGUGCCAACUUAGACAACACUCUUUUAAGCACUCUUUUUUAGUUAUCUCCACCUGCCCACUUCCCUUAUUAGGCCGAGAUAUUUUAACCAAAUUAUCUGCUUCCCUGACUAUUCCUGGACUACAGCCGCAUCUCAUUGCUGCCCUUCUUCCCAAUCCAAAGCCUCCUUUGCGUCCUCCUCUUGUAUUCCCCCACCUUAACCCACAAGUAUAAGAGACCUCUACUCCCUCCUUGGUGACUGAUCACGCACCCCUUACCAUCUCAUUAAAACUGAAUCACCCUUACCCCGCUCAACGCCAAUAUCCUAUCCCACAGCAUGCUUUAAAAGGAUUAAAGCCUGUUAUCACUCGCCUGCUACAGCAUGGGCACCUAUAAACUCUCCUUACCAUUCCCCCAUUUCACCUGUCCUAAAACCAGGCAAGGCUUACAAGUUAGUUCAGAAUCUGCACCUUAUCAACCAAAUUGUUUUGCCUAUCCACCCUGUGGUGCCAAACCCAUAUACUCUCCUAUCCUCAAUACCUCCCUCUACUACCCAUUAUUCUGUUCUGGAUCUCAAACAUGCUUUCUUUACUAUUCCUUUGCACCCUUCAUCCCAGCCUCUCUUUGCCUUCACUUAGACUGACCCUGACACCCAUUAGGCUCAGUAAAUUACCUGGGCUGUACUGCCGCAAGGCUUCGCGGACAGCCCCCAUUACUUCAGUCAAGCCCAAAUUUCAUCCUCAUCUGUUACCUAUCUCGGCAUAAUUCUCAUAGAAACACAUGUGCUCUUCCUGCUGAUCAUGUCCGAUUAAUCUCCCAAACCUCAAUCCCUUACAAAAGAACAACUCCUUUCCUUCCUAGGCAUGGUUAGUGCGGUCAGAAUUCUUACACAAGAGCCAGGACCACACCGUGUAGCCUUUCUGUCCAAACAACUUGACCUUACUGUUUUAGCCUAGCCCUCAUGUCUGCGUGCAGCGGCUGCCGCUGCUUUAAUACCGUUAGAGGCCCUAAAAAUCACAAACUAUGCUCAACUCACUCUCUACAUUUCUCAUAACUUCCAAAAUCUAUUUUCUUCCUCAUACCUGACACAUAUACUUUCUGCUCCCCGGCUCCUUCAGCUGUACUCACUCUUUAAGUCCCACAAUUACCAUUGUUCCUGGCCCGGACUUCAAUCUGGCCUCCCACAUUAUUCCUGAUACCACACCUGACCCCCAUGACUGUAUCUCUCUGAUCCACCUGAUAUUCACCCCAUUUCCCCAUAUUUCCUUCUUUGCUGUUCCUCACCCUGAUCACGCUUGCCUCGUGCUAUCCCCAAACUGCCAUUCUUAACUCUUGAAGUAAAUAAUCUUUGCUGGCAGGGCUAUGCUGAAUCUCCUUAGGCACUCUCUAAUCAGAUGUCCUGAGUCGUCCCAAUUCUUAGACCUUUUAUACCUGUUUUUCUCCUUCUCUUAUUCCAUUUAGUUUUUCAAUUCAUACAAAACCAUAUCCAGGCCAUCACCAAUAAUUCUACACAACAAAUGUUUCUUCUAACAACCCCACAAUAUCACCCCUUACCACAAAAUCUUCCUUCAGCUUAAUCUCUCCCACUCUAGGUUCCCACGCCACCCCUAAUCCCGCUCGAAGCAGCCCUGAGAAACAUCGCCCAUUCUCUCUCCACACCAACCCCCACAAAUUUUCACCGCCCCAAGACUUCAACACUAUUUUGUUUUAUUUUUCUUAUUAAUAUAAGAAGGCAGGAAUGUCAGGCCUCUGAGCCCAAGCCAAGCCAUCGCAUCCCCUGUGACUUGCACGUAUACAUCCACGUGGCCUGAAGUAACUGAAGAUCCACAAAAGAAGUAAACAUAGCCUUAACUGAUGACAUUCCACCAUUGUGAUUUGUUCCCGCCCCACCCUAACUAAUCAAUGUACUUUGUAAUCUCCCCCACCCUUAAGAAGGUUCUUUGUAAUUCUCCCCACCCUUGAGAAUGUACUUUGUGAGAUCCACCCCGCCCACAAAACAUUGCUCUUAACUUCACUGCCUAACCCAAAACCUAUAAGAACUAAUAAUAAUCCACCACUCUUUGCUGACUCUCUUUUUGGACUCAGCCCACCUGCACCCAGGUGAAAUAAACAGCCAUGUUGCUCACACAAAGCCUGUUUGGUGGUCUCUUCACACAGACGCGCAUGAAAGUGUGGUCAGAGUAGUCCUCAGGGAAGGUGGGAUUUGAGCCGUAAGGGUUUGAGCAGAGGAUAACCUGAUCUGUUAUUGCUGAGAGCUCAGUCUAAUGCUGUUUGGAGAGCCCACUGUCCGGGCAGAGGUGGAAAUAAGCGAGGAGGCGAUUGAAAUAGUUCAGGCUAGAGAUGGUGGCUGGUAGCAGGCUCAGAGCAGGGGUGGUGGAGAGAGGUAGUUGGAUUCUUAAUUAUUUUGAAGGUUGAGCUGACAGCAAUUCCUAAGAGGUUGGAUACAUGGGCAAAAGGGAGAAGUGGACAGACAGGUAGACCUGGCCCCAUGUCCCUCUCUCUUCUCUUCCUUUUUCAGCUGCAGAGGGACCCGGUUUUAUAGAUAAAGGGUGCCAGAUUUGACCUCCCAUCUGAGGGUCCCAAGAGACUCAAGUGGCCGCUUCAGUCAGCUGCAGAGAGCACAAGUGCUCAUGGGGCACUUUUGCAGGCUUGGGGACCAGCUAGCCAAGAAAAUGUCAUUUCUAAUGAAGUUAUUUCCCCUUUAAAGUAAACCAAGCACUGUUGGUUCUGGAAGCAUUGCCCAGAGCUGGCAACUCAGCAAUUUGUUUCUCUCCUCUCCUCUCCUCUCUGCUGAGCAGAACAGGUAGAAGUGAGUGUCAUGUGUAAAUGAUUUGAAAAGUGCAAUUUUUUACUCUGGACCCUGCGCUAUAAAAUCAUCAUCAUAAUCAUUAUGGCAAUUCUUUUUUGUUGGUGGCUGCUGAUACUGGGUAACAUUACCCUGCUCAAGCACCAUAGCAUAGCUACCCCAGAAGACAGUAGAGAAUAUCAGAAGAUACUUAACUAUUUCCAUGUAUUAGAAAUUACCUAAACAGUGCUUAUAUAACUGCAUCUCCCUCUCCAAAGAUAUGGUUCACAAGAGAGAGGAGUUUCUAAGAAGGAAGGGACAUUGAAAAAGAUACAUUCUUUCUACUUUUUAACUUAUAUCUUUGUUUCAGAAUCUCAAAGAAAGGAGUCAGUGAUUAUCCCUGGAGUGUGGGAUUACUGGGCCCUUAACAUUUUUUUUUUCUUUUGGAGACAGUCUUUCUCAGUCACCCAGGCUGGAGUGCAGUGGUACAAUUUUGGCUCAUUGCAACAUCCACCACCCAGGCUUAAGUGAUCCUCUUACCUCAGCCUCCCAAGUAGCUGGGACUACAGGCGAGCACCAACAUGCCUGGCUAAUUUUUGUAUUUUUUGUAGAGACGGGGUUUCACCAUAUUGCCCAGGCUGGUCUCAAAAUCCUGGGCUCGAGUAAUCCGCCUCCCUUGACCUCCCACAGUGUUGGGAUUACAGGCAUGAGCCACUGUGCCUGGCAUGGGCCCUUAACUUUUCAAGUUGCAUGUUUAUGAAUUAUUUAAAUAUUUAAAAUAUUAUAUGAAUCCUUAGUUAAUCUGAAGAAAAAGCAUUACCGGAAAGGGAUCCCGAUCCAGGUCCCAAGAGAGGGCUCUUGGCUGUCAUGCAAGAAAAAAUUGGAGGCAAAUCCAUAGAGUAAAGUAAAAGCAAAGUUUCUUAGUAGCCGCUUAGGCUACUCAGCUGCUUAUGCUUAUUGUUACUUCCUGAUUAUAUGCUAAACAAGGAAUGGAUUAUUCAUGAGUUUUCCUGGAAAGCAAUAGGCAAUUCCUGGAGCUGAGGUUUCCUCCCCUUUUUAGUUCAUAUAGGGUAGCUUCCAGAUGUUACCAUGACAUCUGUAAACUUUAAUGGAGCUUGUGGGAGUGUCUUUUAGCAUGCUAAUGUAUUAUAAUUAGCAUAUAAAAAGCGAUGAGGACAACCAGAGGUCACUUUCAUCCCCAUCUCAGUUUUGGUGGGAUCUGGCGUGCUUCCUUACCACAUGCUGUUUUAUCAGCAAGGUCUUUGUGACCUGUAUCUUCUGCUGACCUCCUGUCUCAUCCUGUGACUAAGAAUGCCUUAAACUCCUGGGCAUGUCACCCAGUAGGUCUCAGCCUUAUUUUACCCAUCCCGUUUUCAAGAUGGAGUCGCUCUGGUGAGAGAAUUGAAAACACAAGUGUGAAGGCAAUCUUGUAUAUAAUUACUUAAGAUUUUGAUAUCCUCUUUGACUUUAGUAUUUAAAUCACUUAAAAAUUUCCAAGGGUUGAGAUUUCCUUGUUGUUGCUCUUUAAAUUUUUGUUAUUAGUUUCCAGGUUUAUUGCAUUGUGGUGAAGAAAUGUAGCUUGUUCAAUUUCUGCUUUUUUUUUUUUUUUUUGGAAAUUAAUUGGGGCUUUCUUUGUGAUCUAGUGUAUGACCAAUUUUGAAAAAAAAUCUCCAUAGUUAUCUGAACAAAAGGCAUAUUAAGCAAGCCCCAUAAUCUAGUUCUAGGCUGAGCAUGUAGUAGCUGUUAAAAAAUUGUUUAUUUUUUAACAAUUUUAACAUGUGAACAUGAGCAAUAAUUAAACGUUCAUUCAUCUUGCAUAUUUAUUCUAAGUCUUUAUGUCAUUUACUUUAUUAUUUCAUCUUCCAAACAGUCUUCUAGACUAUAUUCUGCCUUCUCCCCUACCCAUCUUUGUGAAGAAAAUGGAUUUAGGAUGGGUGUAUUAACAUCUUCCAUUUCAAUCAAAAUUCUGACAUUUUUCUUUGACUUUCAACUGCUCUUAUUCCAGCAUUUUCAUGCUGUGUUACACAGUACAUAAAUAUGUAUGUGUACUGUCACGUUGCCAUGGACUACAUAGUUAUUGGUGUAAUAAAACUCCUUUGCCCCAUUCAAUGUGUUUCCCUUGAUCUAUUCUUUGACUGAAAUUCAUAUCACGAUCCCUGCUUUCUUUGUCUUUGUGUCCAUGUAGUAAAUUUUUGUCCACCCUUUGUUUUAAGUCUCUCUGCAUCAUUUUAUUUUGAAAGAGUACAUUUAAAGCGACAUAUACCACGAUUGGAUUUUGUUUUAAACCCAACUAAUGAAUUUGGUUUAAUUUCUGCCAUCUUGUUUUAUGCUUUCUGGGUUUUAUGAAACCCUGCCAAUUCCUAAGUUCUGUGUUUUUGGUAAAACUGACUGUGCUCUAUUUCCUUAUAUAUUCUCCAGUCAUUUGGAAAGUAUAUUUGUUGUUUUAAACAUAGUGCUUCUUUUUUUUUUUUUUUCUUUUUGACAGAGUCUCACUCUGUCACCAGACUGGAGUGGAGUGGAGUGGAGUGGUGCGAUCUUGGUUCACUGCAACCUCCGCCUCCUGGGUUCAAGUGAUUUUCCUGCCUCAGCCUCUCGAAUAGCUGGGAGUACAGGUUCGCACCACCAUGCCCAGCUAAUUUUUGUAUUUUUAAUAGAGUCGGGGUUUCACCAUGUUGGCCAGGCUAGUCUCAAUCUCUUGACCUCAUGAUCCACCCAUCUCGGCCUCCCAAAGUGCUGAGAUUACAGGUGUGAGCCACUGAGCCUGGAGUCAUUUCUUUUUUAAAUAUAGAACUUUUGAUUACCUAAGGGGUGGCAAGGCACUGUCCUUGGUACUGUGGAUAUGUGAUGAAACAGAUCAAAUCUUUCCUUCAAUGUACUUAUCAUCCAACGGGGGGCAGACAAUAAACACGUGAACAAUUAAAUAUGAAGAUAGGCAGGGCAUGAUGCAUACCAUGAAUAAAACAAACAGAAUAGUGUGAGGAAGAGUGGCUGGGGGCUGACUUAAUUUGGGCUAUCAGAGAAGACCUCCCUGAGAAGGUUAUGCUUAAGCUGAGAUAGAUGACAACAAGGAUGCAGACAGAUGAGUACCUGAGAAAUAUUCCAGUCUAGGCAGAAGGAACAGCCAAAGACAAGGCCUUCAGGUGGGUGUCAAGGAAUAUGAAGAAGCCCACUGGGGCUGCAGCUAGAGGCUUAGGGAGAGUCCUCAGGGAGGGUUCCAGCAAGGAACAGCUCAAUCAGCUUUGUAUGUUUAAAAGUAGCCACAAAGAAGGCUGUAGGGAGAAAGGAUAGCAGGGAGGAGAUGGGCAAUGAAUGGUAGAAGGAGAAGUCUACCAAAGAGGUAGACUUGCAGUCCCCAGGCAAGGGAUGGUAGAUUGAUUAGGUAGAGGGUUAGAGAUGGAAUGGAGUGGGUGAAUUCAAGGUAAGCUUUGAAGGUAGGACCCACUGGGCAAGCUAUUUUACAUAUCCCUCCUGUAGUACAUUUGAAUACAAUUUGGAUUAUACUUUAGUUGAAUUUAGCUAUCAAUAAAUUUAUUAAACUUGUAGGGUGACUUAAAGUACCAAAUAUUUGCUUACAUUAGCUGAAAAUAUAUUGCCUCCUUUGAGAAUGUUUAAAAUAAGAAGUUAUAAUGAGAUAGUGGUGUUAAAAAAAAUGUGUCCGUGCAUGUAUAUAUGCAUGUGGGUAUGUGUUUACACUUUGUUAUGGUUUGAAUGUUUGUCCUCUCCAAAACUCAUGUUGACAUUUGAUUGCUACUGCAACAGUAUUAAAGGUGGGACCUUUAAGAGAUAAUUAGGCCAUGAGGGCUCAAGGCGGGAUAGAGGCCUUUAUAAAAGGGUGAGUUUGCCCCAUCUUGUUCUCUUUUGCCCUUCCACCUUCUGCCAUGUGAUGAUGCAGCAAGAAGGCCCUUGCCAGAUCCCAGCCCCUUGACCUUGGACUUCUCAGCCUCCAGAGCUGUAAGAAAUAAAUUUCUGUUCAUUAUAAAUUACCCAAUCUCAGGUAUUCUGUUAUAGCAACACAAAACAGACUAAGACAUACACUAAACCUUUCCUGCAAAUGUUUCAGAGGAUAAGGCUUCAGGGCACGUUGCAGAAGUCCCAUAAAGGGGAGGAAAAGAGAGAUCACACAUGGAUUUAGGCUUUCUGCUGAGUGCCUGGCUGAAAUGUGGGUCCCUUUAUUGAGAUGGGAGCAGUUUUAGGGGGUGGAAAAUAGAGUACCGGUUAUCUUUAAUUUACCUAAAAACUGCCUACCUUAACUACCAGGAUAAAAAAUACAUGGCUCUGCCUGUGUCAACAUGGAAUUUAUCAUGCUUCCCAGUUCCCUACUCACAGCCUAUGCCCAGCCUCCCUCUUCUUUCUCUAGUAUUUGUUUAUACACUCUAAACUUUAAAACAGAUAUUUGGAUUAGUGAAUCAUUAUUUUUAGACUAUAUGAGUUGUCUUUCAAGAAUUAUUUUGUAUCUACAAAUUUCAAUUCUAUUUAUAACAAUUACUUAGAUUUAAUUAUUUAUUUAAACUUGUUUAAAUAUCUACUCCCCCGUCUUUCAUAUCUUGUCUU
Molecule: long non-coding RNA, 10696 nt
Filed under: Homo sapiens (human)
Lineage: Eukaryota; Metazoa; Chordata; Mammalia; Primates; Hominidae
Description: HSALNT0265133
Source: RNAcentral